This 755-nucleotide non-coding RNA is filed under the name Pan troglodytes (chimpanzee). Lineage: Eukaryota; Metazoa; Chordata; Mammalia; Primates; Hominidae. The record is from RNAcentral.
GGCUUCUCCUUUUUUAAAGGUCUCCAGCGUACCAGGAUUUGUGAAGGCCUGAAGUUCGUAGAAUGAAAUCUAUGUGGAGAUGAUUUAAAAGAACGGUUUCACUGCUAAAAUCCUUUCGAAAUGAGUUCCUUUAAUUUCUUCAGUAACUAAAUCCUCCAGAAAGGAAAGCCGAGAGAAUCUAGUCCUAUACAAUAACACCCUCUAACAAAGAUCGCUAAAGGAAGAUUUUAGUAGAUGAAUAUCUUCAAUAAUACAUGGUCACAUACAUGUAUCUGACCAUAUGAUGGCUCUCUGCACCAAAUUCCUCCAAACUAUUAUAAUAUGUAUUGUCUGUAGUGCUAUUUAUUUGGAAGUUAAUCAUGUAUUACAUUGUGACAUUUCUUACAGUGAACCAUUAUGUAUGUGUUUAUGUUCUGCCCUCAACUACUCAAUGCCAGUACCUUAUUCUUAACACAGCAGCCACCCUUUCUGAUCUGUCCUCACACCCUCAUUCCCAUCAUAGUUAUUCUCCUCUCUCAUGGAAAUGUUCAGUUUCUGGACAUCUCCUUUCUCUUCCAUUCUUCACCUGACCUUCCUUCCUUUCUUGGCCAGCCUGAAUAUUAUAAAGGGAAUUUUAUUUCAAACCCAGGAUCACACUUAAGAGGAAAAGAAACAAAAGCCAGUUCUUUUUAUUGCACAUAGAACAAGGAGAAACUCCACCCCUUUUGUUGUCUGGUAUGUUUAAAACAAGAAAGAACUUUAGAAAAGUAGGAUAU